UCAUUAAUAACUUACGAAUCGCAUGGCCUUGUUGCGGCGAUGGUUCAUUCAAAUUUCUGCCCUAUCAACUUUCGAUGGUUAGGUCUUGGUAACCAUGGUUUCAACGGGUAACGGGGAAUUAGGGUUCUAUUCCGGAGAGUGAGCCUGAGAAACGGCUAACACAUCCAAGGAAGGCAGCAGGCGCGCAAAUUACCCAAUCCCGACACGGGGAGGUAGUGACAAUAAAUACUGAUCCAGGGCUCUUUUGGGUCUUGGAAUUGGAAUGAGUACAAUUUAAAUCCCUUAACGAGGAACAAUUGGAGGGCAAGUCUGGUGCCAGCAGCCGCGGUAAUUCCAGCUCCAAUAGCGUAUAUUAAAGUUGUUGCAGUUAAAAAGCUCGUAGUUGAACUUCAGGCCUGGCUGGAUGGUCUACCUAACGGUAUGUACUGUCUGGCUGGGUCUUACCUCUUGGUGAGCCGGCAUGCCCUUUACUGGGUGUGUGGGGAACCAGGACUUUUACCUUGAGAAAAUUAGAGUGUUCCAAAGCAGGCCUAUGCCCGAAUACAUUAGCAUGGAAUAAUAAAAUAGGACGUGCGGUUCUAUUUGGUGGUUUCUAGAGUCGCCGUAAUGAUUAAUAGGGAUAGGUUGGGGGCAUUAGUAUUCAGGUUGCUAGAGGUGAAAUCCUUGGAUUUACUGAAGAUAACUAUUGCGAAAGCUUUU
RNAcentral lists this ribosomal RNA (699 nucleotides) under uncultured fungus. RNAcentral describes it as "SSU rRNA". It matches the Rfam family "Eukaryotic small subunit ribosomal RNA", at positions 251 to 956 of the family's 1831-position model. Lineage: Eukaryota; Fungi. The record is from RNAcentral.